GACGAACGCUGGCGGCGUGCUUAAUACAUGCAAGUCGAACGGAAAGGCCCUGCUUUUGUGGGGUGCUCGAGUGGCGAACGGGUGAGUAACACGUGAGUAACCUGCCCUUGACUUUGGGAUAACUUCAGGAAACUGGGGCUAAUACCGGAUAGGAGCUCCUGCUGCAUGGUGGGGGUUGGAAAGUUUCGGCGGUUGGGGAUGGACUCGCGGCUUAUCAGCUUGUUGGUGGGGUAGUGGCUUACCAAGGCUUUGACGGGUAGCCGGCCUGAGAGGGUGACCGGCCACAUUGGGACUGAGAUACGGCCCGGACUCCUACGGGAGGCAGCAGUGGGGAAUAUUGCACAAUGGGCGGAAGCCUGAUGCAGCAACGCCGCGUGCGGGAUGACGGCCUUCGGGUUGUAAACCGCUUUCGCCUGUGACGAAGCGUGAGUGACGGUAAUGGGUAAAGAAGCACCGGCUAACUACGUG
This 468-nucleotide ribosomal RNA is filed under the name uncultured bacterium. RNAcentral's name for it is "partial 16S ribosomal RNA". It matches the Rfam family "Bacterial small subunit ribosomal RNA", at positions 28 to 507 of the family's 1533-position model. The record is from RNAcentral.